UUGCUGGCUUCUUUCACGGAUGGUCAGCUCCCCUUAAAUGCAUUAGCCGGUGCCCCGCGUGGACUGUCUAUUGGUGUGAUAAUUAUCUACGCGUGGACAUCUGCAAUUAUAUGGGUUUGCACUGCUUCCAACCGUCUGUUCAAUCAGACAAUACAUGACAAUUUGACCUCAAAUCAGGUAGGACUACCCGCUGAACUUAA
This 200-nucleotide unclassified non-coding RNA is filed under the name soil metagenome. Its description in RNAcentral is "partial contains internal transcribed spacer 2 and large subunit ribosomal RNA". The record is from RNAcentral.